Molecule: ribosomal RNA, 2921 nt
Filed under: Escherichia coli
Lineage: Bacteria; Pseudomonadati; Pseudomonadota; Gammaproteobacteria; Enterobacterales; Enterobacteriaceae
Description: 23S ribosomal RNA
Rfam family: Bacterial large subunit ribosomal RNA
Source: RNAcentral
GGGUUGUGAGGUUAAGCGACUAAGCGUACACGGUGGAUGCCCCGCAGUCAGAGGCGAUGAAGGACGUGCUAAUCUGCGAUAAGCGUCGGUGAGGUGAUAUGAACCGUUAUAACCGGCGAUUUCCGAAUGGGGAAACCCAGUGUGUUUCGACACACUAUCAUUAACUGAAUCCAUAGGUUAAUGAGGCGAACCGGGGGAACUGAAACAUCUAAGUACCCCGAGGAAAAGAAAUCAACCGAGAUUCCCCCAGUAGCGGCGAGCGAACGGGGAGGAGCCCAGAGCCUGAAUCAGUGUGUGUGUUAGUGGAAGCGUCUGGAAAGGCGCGCGAUACAGGGUGACAGCCCCGUACACAAAAAUGCACAUAUUGUGAGCUCGAUGAGUAGGGCGGGACACGUGGUAUCCUGUCUGAAUAUGGGGGGACCAUCCUCCAAGGCUAAAUACUCCUGACUGACCGAUAGUGAACCAGUACCGUGAGGGAAAGGCGAAAAGAACCCCGGCGAGGGGAGUGAAAAAGAACCUGAAACCGUGUACGUACAAGCAGUGGGAGCCUCUUAAUGGGGUGACUGCGUACCUUUUGUAUAAUGGGUCAGCGACUUAUAUUCUGUAGCAAGGUUAACCGAAUAGGGGAGCCGAAGGGAAACGAGUCUUAACUGGGCGUUAAGUUGCAGGGUAUAGACCCGAAACCCGGUGAUCUAGCCAUGGGCAGGUUGAAGGUUGGGUAACACUAACUGGAGGACCGAACCGACUAAUGUUGAAAAAUUAGCGGAUGACUUGUGGCUGGGGGUGAAAGGCCAAUCAAACCGGGAGAUAGCUGGUUCUCCCCGAAAGCUAUUUAGGUAGCGCCUCGUGAAUUCAUCUCCGGGGGUAGAGCACUGUUUCGGCAAGGGGGUCAUCCCGACUUACCAACCCGAUGCAAACUGCGAAUACCGGAGAAUGUUAUCACGGGAGACACACGGCGGGUGCUAACGUCCGUCGUGAAGAGGGAAACAACCCAGACCGCCAGCUAAGGUCCCAAAGUCAUGGUUAAGUGGGAAACGAUGUGGGAAGGCCCAGACAGCCAGGAUGUUGGCUUAGAAGCAGCCAUCAUUUAAAGAAAGCGUAAUAGCUCACUGGUCGAGUCGGCCUGCGCGGAAGAUGUAACGGGGCUAAACCAUGCACCGAAGCUGCGGCAGCGACACUAUGUGUUGUUGGGUAGGGGAGCGUUCUGUAAGCCUGUGAAGGUGUACUGUGAGGUAUGCUGGAGGUAUCAGAAGUGCGAAUGCUGACAUAAGUAACGAUAAAGCGGGUGAAAAGCCCGCUCGCCGGAAGACCAAGGGUUCCUGUCCAACGUUAAUCGGGGCAGGGUGAGUCGACCCCUAAGGCGAGGCCGAAAGGCGUAGUCGAUGGGAAACAGGUUAAUAUUCCUGUACUUGGUGUUACUGCGAAGGGGGGACGGAGAAGGCUAUGUUGGCCGGGCGACGGUUGUCCCGGUUUAAGCGUGUAGGCUGGUUUUCCAGGCAAAUCCGGAAAAUCAAGGCUGAGGCGUGAUGACGAGGCACUACGGUGCUGAAGCGACAAAUGCCCUGCUUCCGGGGAAAGCCUCUAAGCAUCAGGUAACAUCAAAUCGUACCCCAAACCGACACAGGUGGUCAGGUAGAGAAUACCAAGGCGCUUGAGAGAACUCGGGUGAAGGAACUAGGCAAAAUGGUGCCGUAACUUCGGGAGAAGGCACGCUGAUAUGUAGGUGAAGCGACUUGCUCGUGGAGCUGAAAUCAGUCGAAGAUACCAGCUGGCUGCAACUGUUUAUUAAAAAACACAGCACUGUGCAAACACGAAAGUGGACGUAUACGGUGUGACGCCUGCCCGGUGCCGGAAGGUUAAUUGAUGGGGUUAGCGGUAACGCGAAGCUCUUGAUCGAAGCCCCGGUAAACGGCGGCCGUAACUAUAACGGUCCUAAGGUAGCGAAAUUCCUUGUCGGGUAAGUUCCGACCUGCACGAAUGGCGUAAUGAUGGCGGGCUGUCUCCACCCGAGACUCAGUGAAAUUGAACUCGCUGUGAAGAUGCAGUGUACCCGCGGCAAGACGGAAAGACCCCGUGAACCUUUACUAUAGCUUGACACUGAACAUUGAGCCUUGAUGUGUAGGAUAGGUGGGAGGCUUUGAAGUGUGGACGCCAGUCUGCAUGGAGCCGACCUUGAAAUACCACCCUUUAAUGUUUGAUGUUCUAACGUGGGCCCCUUACCGGGGUUGCGGACAGUGUCUGGUGGGUAGUUUGACUGGGGCGGUCUCCUCCUAAAGAGUAACGGAGGAGCACGAAGGUUGGCUAAUCCUGGUCGGACAUCAGGAGGUUAGUGCAAUGGCAUAAGCCAGCUUGACUGCGAGCGUGACGGCGCGAGCAGGUGCGAAAGCAGGUCAUAGUGAUCCGGUGGUUCUGAAUGGAAGGGCCAUCGCUCAACGGAUAAAAGGUACUCCGGGGAUAACAGGCUGAUACCGCCCAAGAGUUCAUAUCGACGGCGGUGUUUGGCACCUCGAUGUCGGCUCAUCACAUCCACGGGGCUGAAGUAGGUCCCAAGGGUAUGGCUGUUCGCCAUUUAAAGUGGUACGCGAGCUGGGUUUAGAACGUCGUGAGACAGUUCGGUCCCUAUCUGCCGUGGGCGCUGGAGAACUGAGGGGCUGCUCCUAGUACGAGAGGACCGGAGUGGACGCAUCACUGGUGUUCGGGUUGUCAUGCCAAUGGCACUGCCCGGUAGCUAAAUGCGGAAGAGAUAAGUGCUGAAAGCAUCUAAGCACGAAACUUGCCCCGAGAUGAGUUCUCCUGACUCCUUGAGAGUCCUGAAGGAACGUUGAAGACGACGACGUUGAUAGGCCGGGUGUGUAAGCGCAGCGAUGCGUUGAGCUAACCGGUACUAAUGAACCGUGAGGCUUAACCUUACAACGCCGAAG